This 60-nucleotide transfer RNA is filed under the name Longipodacrangonyx sp. 1 MDMBR-2012. RNAcentral's name for it is "transfer RNA Phenylalanine". The record is from RNAcentral. Lineage: Eukaryota; Metazoa; Arthropoda; Malacostraca; Amphipoda; Metacrangonyctidae.
AUUUGGUUAGCUCUGAGAGUAUUAUUUUGAAGCAAUAAAGGAAGAUUAUUCUACCAAAUA